This 39360-nucleotide long non-coding RNA is filed under the name Setaria viridis. Its description in RNAcentral is "long non-coding RNA (SVIR_LNC000985)". The record is from RNAcentral. Lineage: Eukaryota; Viridiplantae; Streptophyta; Magnoliopsida; Poales; Poaceae.
GGAGCUGGUGUUUCUUCCCAGAAGAAAGUGUAGAGAGCCCUCUACCGAGAAUAAAUUUUUUGUAUGGAAUUAUGUCUGAAACUAUAUCGGGUGUAUCCUAGUGGUUGGUUGAGCUGUAAUGGCUCAUAUUUUGUCAGGUCUAUGUACCUUCGUUAAACUUUAAAUCAAUAUCUAUUUCAUUUUCGCAUUGUGCUUGUGCACGACUCUAAUUGACUGCAAAAAAUUACUCUGCUUCGUUCACUGGCUGUUUAGUUGUUGACCUAGUAUGUCCUGGGUGAGAAUGGUUCUUGAGGAACCUGAUGGUGCUUGCCAAUUUCAGAAAUAGACAGUCGUUGCGUGCAGGAUGCCCAGGCCUUACGGGUGACAAGUAGAUGUAUGGUUUCGUUUGCCUUACACUAUCUCGUGAACAUGCCAAAGGAUAUAAAAAAUCAUCUGUUGUUAGUCCAUACAAGAUUCAUAAUGAUUAUAGCUAUAGUUUGAAUAUGAAUCUUUUGAGUAACUUCACCUGAAAUAAUUUGAGUAUGAAUCUUUUGCGACAAAGUAUGGCAUGAACUAUGGAUGUACCGAAUUUUAAAUUUCUUAGUAUAACUUUGGUUUUAGUUUUCAUAUUUAUGCUAUGUCAGUCAUUCCAUCGAGAAAGAGUGCCGGAGUACCAUUUUACUAGAUAGAAGAUGAUGCAUAAUAUAUUGAAGGUAUGAUUGUUCCAGAUGCUACGCCCUCUGGGCACCCAUAGGGUGGGGGGAAAUCGAUGCUUCAAACUGGAGAUAAAGGUUUUGCCACUGCAGCCUUUGAUGCUUGGUAAACAAUUUAUAGCACUGACCCUCAACAACAGACCCAAUGAUCAAUUCAUUUCUUUUUGUUUAUGUACCUUAUGGGAUCCACAACCAAUGCUUUGCAAAAGAUGAAACUGAGCAUCAUUUUUUACAAGACAUUCCAAGCAUUGCUUUUUACGCAUCACACUGCUAAUGCUCUAAAUUCAGUGUUGUUCAACGCCGACUCAUCUAUUCCUUACAGCAGGAAAGGCAAAAUCCAAUAAGCAACUUGAGCAAUGUACUUCUGUAGCUUUUGUACAAAUCAAAGAUCAAAUAUAUGCUACUUAAUAUUCCUUCCGUUUUAAGUUGUAGAUCGUUUUAAUUUUUUUAGGUUCGUAAAUAUUUAUAUGCACUAAAAAAAGCUAAAUCUGAGCCGAGCCUGUUUUCUUAGAAGAACUAAAACGAGGAUGUUGCUCGUGGGCGAACAUGAAAUGUGCACGUGCAACUCAGCCAACAGCUGUGUGCUAUGGGCCUAUGAGCGGGAGAGUACUUUGGGCCUCUAUCCGAUAUGGGGGCCUUUUGAUCGCGUGUUCAAUUUUACGUCGGCCCUGCUCCGGUGCUCCCGAACGCUCGCUGCCUCGCUCUUCCUCUCCCUCCGCCGCCGCCACCACCGCCACCGCUGCCGCCAUUGUCGCGGGGACAGACCCUGAUGUCUCGCUAGAAGCAGCAACCGCAGGGAGGAAGAAGCCGCGAACCCCGAUGCCUCUGCGCGGUCUCCGGCGUCUGCGCCGGUGCUGCGAUGCCGGGAGGUCCCUGCUACCGCUCCCCCUCCGCAGAUCUUCGUCAUCAUCGUCCUCCACACGCCCGAGCCAGGAUUCCAGUGGCACCGCACUCACGGCGGAGGAAGAGGCGGCGGCCGAGCGGAUCAAGAGCUCGCUCUUCAAGGUGCGCAAGGGGAGCGUCGAGGACCUUGUCCGGUCCCUCGGGGCGGAGUGUUCUGAGAUCCGGCUCACGACCGGCGUCGCGGACAGCCUGCUGCGCAGGUUCGGGGACGACUGGAAGUCCGCGCUGGGUUUCUUCCAGUGGGCGCAGUCGCGGGGCGACGGCUACGCGCACACGCCGUACGCCUGCAGCCGGAUGGUCGACCUGCUCGGGAAAAUGAGGCAGAUCGACCGGAUGUGGGAUCUGCUGUCUGAAAUGCAUUGCAGGGGGCUGGUCACGGUGGACAUUGUCUCCAAGAGCAUCAGGAGGCUUGCCGCUGCGAGGAGGUGGAAGGAUGCCAUUGUGUUGUUUGAUCAGUUGGAGGACAUGGGGCUGGAGAGGAACACGGAGACGAUGAAUGUGCUGCUCGACGCUCUCUGCAAGGAGAAGAAAAUCGAAUUGGCGCGUGAGGUCUUUGUGGUGCUCAGCCCGCACAUCACACCAGAUGCAUACACUUUCAACAUCUUUGUCCAUGGGUGGUGCAGUAUGCGCAGGAUUGAUGAGGCAAUGUGGACGAUUGAGGAGAUGAAAAACAAGGGGUUCCCUCCUACGGUCAUCACGUAUACUGCUGUUAUUGAGGCUUACUGUAAGCAGCGCAAGUUCAGGAGGGUCUAUGAACUCCUUGAUUCGAUGGGUUCUCAGGGCUGCCAUCCCAAUGUGAUCACUUACACCAUGAUCAUGACCUCCUUGGCGAAAUGUGAAAGAUUUGAAGAAGCUUUGAGUGUGUCCGAUAGAAUGAGAUCCUCAGGUUGUGAGCCUGAUACCCUGUUCUACAACUCUCUGAUCAACAUUCUUGGUAAAGCGGGUCAUUUGUUCGAAGCUUCCCAAGUGUUUCGUGUGGAGAUGCCAAGAAAUGGUGUGCCCCGUAACCUGGCCACGUAUAACACCAUGAUAUCAAUUCUGUGCCAGUAUGGGCGAGAUGAUGAUGCUCUUGCUUUGUUGAAAGAAAUGGAGGCACAAUCUUGCAAGCCUGAUCUUCAGACAUAUCAACCGCUUCUUAGGCUAUUUUUGAGUAGAAGAGGGCAUGGUGAUGCUGUUGACCACCUAUUGAGUGAGCUUGUGAAUAAGAGUGGUCUAGGUUUAGAUCUUGAUACAUACACCCUUCUGAUCCAUGGUCUUUGUAGGGUCGGUGAAACUGACUGGGCUUAUCGACUGUAUGAUCAGAUGGUAGGUAGUGAAAUCGUACCUAGGCGUAAAACAUGUGAAUUGCUUUUGAGUGAAACACAAAGACAAAACAUGGAGGCGUAUGUGGAAAGAAUCAGGAAUGAUACAAUUUCCUUUGGUCUUUGUCCAUAACUUUGAGAGAAUUACCCUCUUCUAUGUGAUUGAUUUGUUAAUUGCUAGUGACCAGUUAAUACUACUGAACAAUCUGUAACUUAGCAUAGACUAGAAGUCAGGAAGCAUCUUCAGACAACAGAAGAUUGCCCAUCGUCUACUGUUUUACUGCAAGAAUAAGUUGCAAGAUUAUCUUAUACUUUUAUCAGCAUAUUAUAGCAAGAUUGAAAUCAUCAUUUGACUUCAGAAUUUCAGUUGAUAAUCCUUGUACAAAGACAUGGUGCACAUGCUAUGCUAUUACAAUUGGCAUUGGCUUUUUAAUGGAUAGUAGUGAGCUGGAUUUAAUUGUGACACCUAGUUGUAUUGUGUCGUCAUAUUAUGUAAUAUGAUAUUAAUGUUGUACAUACCUGUAUAUCAUGUCAAACUGUGCAGGCACAAAAAUAUUUUCUGCAUUGUACAUGUUGAUUCACUUCUUGUGUAUUCGAGAAAACAAUAUGCUUGCUGUUUAAAUUGGAGAAUUCAUAAGUCUGGUUCAAAUAGAAGCCUACUGAACCCAGCAGCCCGGUUACAAACGUACUGCAACUUCUUCAUAUACUGCUGUGGAGAGCAAUCUUUUUCAGAUUGCUGAUCUGUUUGUUUCUGUUGCGUUGUGCGUGCUGUUGGCUGUAACCAUGCAGCAGUGAGAGAAGCUCCGCCGCAUCUUGCUCCCUUAAGAGCACUGGUCUCUGUUUGGUAAGCUGGGCUUCAAGAUCAAAAGAUUGCGGUGCAAUGGCCACUUUCUUUUAGAGAGGAGUGGAAUGCCAGCUUGCAAAGCUGUCUGCCCGACGCAAAAUGGCAGUUCAGGCAUCUGAUGGCUAUAUCUGCUGGUUUCUUUAAUGUGGAUCGGUCGAUCCAAGCGUAUGAAGCCUUCAUCUGCACUGCAGAGCCUUCCAGACAGGCAGUAUUGAACAGAAAGUAACGAGGACCUCCCUGGAUCUAGUGAUUUCCUCCGUUCAGCGAUAUGGUGGAAGAGUUCCAGGCGGGGCCAGUCGUCAGUCGCCACUCCAUCCUCCAAACAGGCUACUGUGUGUAUGUGGCCAUGUUCCAGCCGGUGCACGCAUUGACGGGUGUCGUUAUCGCUAAUUGCUGCGAGGAAGCCCCGUUCCGGGUUCAUCUUUAUCCAUGGCGCCUCAAUAAUAAUGCGACGACGGGUCGAUUCGAUUCGCAUGUGGGCCGGCGGCCUACGCCCACGGCGGCGACGCGAUCGGAGCCGGACGGCGCGGGGGGCCGGGCCUCACGUGGUGGUGGCGGCGAUCGCGACCGCGACCGCGUGGGGACGAACGGCCGGACCGGUUGGUGAGGGUGAGAACGUGAGGAGAUGGGCUACCUUUUUGGCAAAGCAACGUGCCGAGGCCGGGCCGUGGGAGCUGCGGGGGGGGGGGGGGGGGGGGGGGGGGGGGGGGGGGGGGGGGGCACGAGGGCACCACCCACCACACCCUGCCGCCGUGCGCCCGUGCCCGACGCCGAACGCGAUCGGGAGGGAAGGGGCACGCGCUGCCUGCCUGUCCGCCGGGCCGUGGGGGAGAGAUCAACGGGGGCCGCGUCGCCUCUCCUGUUGCAGCGGGUGCCUUUCGGUGGUUCGCGGCAGGAACACGUGGCCGUGGCCCGCGCCGAUCCGCAUCGGCAUCGGCCAGCUAGCUGACUCCGAGACGCGAUCCGGCCGGGCCAACCGGCCAGGGGAAAGCUGCUUCGAGGGAGCCACAGCUCUCUGACACCGUGAUGCUUCUUCCCUUUCAGUUCUUCUUGGAGGAGCAUUAUUCAGACGGAGCAAAGGCGCCCCCUGUCCACUUCGCAGCUCCCAAGCUAACCCAAACAACCAAUUCCAUCCACACCGCGUCGCGUUACACCGGCAUGUGAGAGUGUACUGGAAAUCAUUGCCGGAUCAUGCCGUCCCGUCGUAAAAAUCCAGUCCUAAAGGACGCACCACACCAUAUCUCCCUGCCACGUACGUACGUACGCGCCAAGGGAUCGAGCACACCACAUUAGCAUCAAAUUCACCAUCAAUUAAAGCAUCUCCAGCAAAUUUGGUAAUGGAGUGCUCCAGCAGAUUACCAAUCACUUUCCCAAUACCAUUUUUUUUUUUGCAAUCAUAAAAACAAGUCCCUCUCUCUUCCAAAUAGAGGUGAUUCAUCGUCGUUACAAAAUCCACCGUUAUCCUUGACGCUCAGGACAUUUCACAAGAGAACAUGGAGGAGGAGGAGAGCUAGAGAGAGGGAGGAAGAGGAGGAGAUGCUCCCUUGCGCCGCCAUGGAUGAGCCGCGUGGCGGGGAGCUGCUAGUGCUAGCGAGCCCCACAGCACCAAGGGCUCCACUGACGGUAGUGAGGUCAGUCGCCUCCUGGCCUGUGGCGUCGAGGCUUCCAUGCCCGUUGCUCCCCCCAUCUCCGCCGCCGCUGGUGAGCUGGUGAGGUCCGAUGCUUCCUUCUACCACCUCGAGCUGGUCGCAGGGAGGACGGUGUAGGGGCCAAGGCGACCACAGCCUGAUUACGAGCGGGGCAAAGCUUGGAGGCCACCACAGGCGAGCUGUGGAAGCGCGCAUGGAGCACCGCCAGCAAAGGGGAGACGGCCGGGCGCUGGCGUGAGGAGGAGGAGUGGCGAUCGGCGGAUGCGAGGGUGGCGGGGAGCCAGGAGGAAGAGGAAAACUGGAAGAAACGAGGGGAGGAGAAAAAAGAAAAAAAAGAGUAAAGCCUCUGAUGUGUGGGCCCCACGUGUUGGUGGAGGUAUUGGGGAUUAGCUUUUGAUAGUCUGCUGUGUGAGUGAUCAAAAAAUGCAAAAGUAGCUAUUGGAGAUGGAGAAAGAAAGCAUUUUAGCGGUGGAAGAUGAGCAAUCUGCUAGAGAUAGCGUGCCAUGAAUGGACGUCGUGGAGGCCAACCAAUUGGUGGGUAGCGCGGGCAUAUGCGUGCAUGUGGAGGGAGGCGGAUCACCGAUGGAUGGAUCGAUGGGGAGGGGAUUGAAGAGUUUGGUCGCGAGCACACAUGGCAUGGCACGCUUCAUUACUCGCUCUCGCUGGGACAUCAACGUCGUCCGAGCUAUAAGAGGUCGACGACGCUAGCUCGCGCUGUUCACGAGUGAAUGAGCGUGAACUCAAAUCAAAUCAAUCAUGGAUCAUGGUAUCGAUCAUUCACCCGGGCAGCUCAGAGGGGUUGUUGCUUGGGAUUCAAGCACUCGCGCCGACAGGACAUCAACAAAAAAAAUCUCGUGCGUAAACUGGUUUUGUCACUGUGCAUCGGUAUUCGGUUUUUGAGAAAUGUUGCAAAGUUGAUCGGUCAAAAAACUAGGCGUAAACUAGUCAUGGUUGGCUUCUGGCUAAAGUUUUGGUCAGACCUGUUCCAAGAAACACCGUACCAUAGCUUAUUCGUCCAGCAUCGUCCAACCAAACUGGAUGAGAAAUCCUUGUUCGAAGCGGAUUGAUUCAACAGGCGAGCUACUGGAAGAGGUUACACCAUACCAUCGGCGGAACUCAGCGCAACCGUCAUGUGAAAUCCGACAGCGUGACAGGCUGUCGUCUCCACAGUCCGGUGCCGAUCUUCAGUGCUUGCCGAACCAAACCAGCAACACAGUAGGUGACCCGUUUGAUUCGGUUGCAAAACACGUUUUCGAUUAAAGGGUAAAUGGCAAUCAGGUGUAGAAUGAGACUUGUGUGCCUCCAUUUGGAAUCCAUUACAGAUUUAAAUCUGUAGAGCAGUGGAAAGCUUAAGCUGUAUACAAAGUUACAGGCACGCAUUACAAUUCAGAGAACAACUUUUCAGGGUUCAGACCAUCCGCAGCCAUCCAUGGAACAUUGGAAGCACAGCAAGACUGCAAGAGGCAUCGUCGUGCACGCGGGGACAAGCAUGUCCAGCCAGCCAGCCAAAUCUCCAGAGCUGCACGAAGAAAUCUCUCCCACCAAACUGCACAGGCACAGGACGUACCACUACUAGCACUACCACGCUUUUGAAUCAUUGCCAACCCCAAACCAACCUUCCUGUGCUCCUUUCUCCAUGCAUCAACAUGCCCUGGCCGGCUGGCCCUGGCCCCUUUCUCUCUCUCCCUCUGGGCCUGAUGAUUCUGUUGCAAAGGCUGCACUGGGAAGCCGCCAUCAAUGGCCGUGUUUCACCUUUCCCUUCCCCGUCUUCCCCGUGCCGAUCCCUCUGAAAAGAUUCCCCGUCGUCUCGCUUUCUUUCCCAAAGAGGACCACUGGAGUCUGGUCCGGACGGCUGCAUCACUGACUCUCACUGUACUGUGCUUGGACCCUCCUCUCCCUCUCUCACUCAUAACGACAUGGCACCUUUGCAUUGCACCACACUACUAGUAGCCCAGUACCUCUUGAGCAACUUUGGUGGCCUAAUCCAGUGCCCUGAGCUUUGCAUUUGCAGCUCACAGGCACUGCAUGGUUUGGGUUGGUCCUUGUUCCUCAGCAGUUGAGCUGCACAAACCAACUUCUCUUGCACAAGGUAAUGUCUUCAGGCCUGUCUGAGUUGCAAUCCGGUUGUUUUCUCACCUGCUUUGGGUCUUUUAAUCUCCAUUUGCGUGAGUUCAAUCUUACAGUUUCCAAAUGCUUGCAUCUUACUAUUCCAAUCCAACGACAAAGCAAUAAAGAAGUCAUUUUUUUUUUGUCAUUUGAUUCGGUCAGCUCACAUGGUUCCUUGCUGAUGCACACAUUCUCUUCUCCUUCUUCCACCUUGCCGCAGUUCUUGGCAUAGCAUUGCAUCACAUGCCAUGUGAGUAGCUGACCAUAGCUCACUCUUAAGCACCACACCAGCAGCGGCAAACCACCGCUAGAUCUCCCAGGGAUUCGGCGAUGGAGCAGUCCUGCUACUUCCCUCUGCGGUGGGAGAGCACCGGCGACCAGUGGUGGUACGCGUCGCCGAUCGACUGGGCGGCGGCCGACGGCCACUACGACAUCGUGCGCCAGCUGCUGCACCUCGACCCCAACCUGCUCAUCAAGCUCACCUCGCUCCGCCGGAUCCGCCGCCUCGAGGCACUGUGGGACGACGACGCCCGCUUCGCCGACGCGGCCAGGCACCGCGCGUCCGUCGCGCGGAGCCUGCUGCUCGAGUGCGAGUGCAGGAACCACCACCCCGCCGGCGGCGGCGAGAACACGCUGCUCCGGGCCGGGUACGGCGGGUGGGUGCUGUACACGGCGGCGUCCGCCGGGGACGUGGCGUUCGUGCAGGAGCUGCUGGAGAGGGACCCGCUGCUCGUCUUCGGCGAGGGCGAGUACGGCGUCACGGACAUGUUCUACGCGGCGGCGAGGGGAGGGAGCGCCGACGUGUUCAGGCUGCUGCUCGACCACGCCAUGUCGCCGAGGUGCUCGACGAAUUGCCGCGACGGCGAAGGUGGCUCCGGGCGCGGCUCCGUGUUCCGGCUGGAGAUGAUGAGCCGGGCCGUCCACGCCGCGGCGAGAGGCGGGAGCGUGGAGAUGCUGAGAGAGCUGCUCGAGGAGCGGCGCUCCGGCGUUUCCGUGUACCUCGACGUCCGUGGAUCCACCGUGCUGCAUGCCGCUGCUGGGAGGGGCCAGCUGCAGGUGAGGCAUCUGCUUCGUUGCCAUUGCUUGCAGGCAUCUUUUUCCAGAUGCUUUAGAUGUUUUUUGCUUCAAACAUGGAAUCUUGGGUGGAUCAGUUGUUAGUUUGUGCAAUGGUAUCUUCCAUGGAUGAAUGUUCUAGGGUGUUUGCAUGCUUAGGAGUUCGAUUUGCUUCUGGCUCUUCAUCUUGAAUGCUCGGUGCAACGUGGAUUUACUGAAGAUGGAUUUCUUUGAAAUUGUGGUUGAGUUACUUCAUAACAGAUUUUGCUGAGGCUUAUAUGUUUCUCACUUAGCUGGAUGAUAUUGUUCAUACAGAAACGCUGAGUGUCAUCUAAGAUCAAUGUGUUAGUUCACCAAAUUCCUUCAACAAUCUUAAUAGUUUAAUGUGACAGUGAUAUCACAUCCAGAUGGCAAAUGUUCCUUGUGUGAUUUUAGUCACUGGUUAGAGUUUACCUUGCACAACAGUAUAACUAUUAAGGUAGGGAGUCGCUAUAUACUUGUUGACAGGCCUUUUUAUUUCCUUUCUUGGUAUGAUACUAAACAUAGUUAUCAACUCGUACAGUUCAUGAUCAGAAUGUGUAGGAUGUUUAGUUAGAUAUAAAGCUAGCUUCCUUUCUGAUUAAAUUAGUCAAUAUGUCCCUUUCUAAUUACUAGCAAUUAUGCCCGUGGGUUGCAAUGGGAGAAUUCGUUCCGAUGUGAAAAAGAUAUUGAUCUAAAAUUCAUGUGAUUAGCAUAAAUGAAAAAUAUAUAUAUAUAUUACAUGCCUUGCUAUGUAGCAUGAGGGAACAAACGUGGUCUAUUUGUUAUUUGGGCUGUUAAACCCUAAAGCCCAAAUUAGUUGCAUAUACAGACCCAAUCCAAAGAGAAAAUAAACAAGACCGGUAACUUGACCUCAUCGGCAGGGUGUUGUGGUGGUUCCUCACGCCGCCACCGCCGUCGUGCGUGCAUUGCAGUGGUUCCUUGCUAGAGCCUCGCCGGGACAAAGAUUCCAGCCACCAAUUUCAUAUAUGAGGGUACCAGGAGAGAGAGGAGAUUAUGUAGAUUUCAUUUUGGUGGUUUCAGACAAUGAUUAUUAAAGUGUGGAGGAAAGCCGACCAAGAAUGACCAUUAUUGCUGUUGUUCUGGAGCUCGUGAGGACAUGGCGUACUGUAGAGGAAAGAUGAAGUGGCUGGGAAGAGGGAGUUGGUGGAGGAGAAGCUUGCUAGGGCCUAACCUUGAUUGAUUGUUGCUUGGAGAAGGAGAUUGAUGGAGCCAUGCUUUCGUGGAGAGAAACAACGAAAGGGGAGGAGGUGAGCGGUGCAGCUGGGCGGCUCGGCAGGCUCGUCAUGGUACAGUAGAGGCGCUCGGCAGGAGCCGCAGGGCUAUAGGCAUCAGGCAACGCCGAACUUUGCCAGCUUGUUCAGAUGGAGGAUCAAGGAUGGCAGUAGCACGUAGAAGCUGAGACGGAGACCUGUCGAGCGGAACCGUGAUGAACUCAGAUAGAGACGACGGUCAAAAAAAGAGGAAACCAAAAAACAGACAGACGAACCAAAAACCAAAGAAUUAAAGGGCAGCACUCGUGAAGGAUUUGUUCUGUACUUGUGAAGGAAAGGCUGGACUUGAGGUCAAUUGCAAUAAAGUUUGGGAACCUUUUUGUAAAAUUAUCAAGAACUAUUCCAAGGACUGGUUGAGGGACUUUUUUGCAAAACAACCACGACGGUUGGAAGAAACAACCGCACUUUAAUAUUAGGUAGAGAUAGAGAUUUGACACCAGAGUGUAUAAACUUCCUGCUGUUCCAGUUUAGCUGAAAUAAGAUCACCGGAAAGAACUACUUUUUAGAUCCACAAACUUCUUGAUGCUAUGCAGCCAAGCUUUAUAUCCUGCUGCUGAUAUCCAGACAACUCUGUUCCUGUUCCUUGAUGUUGCUAUGCAACCAUAUCCUUGUCUACUUUCAGUUGUAUGUAGCUGUGAAUUGCAAAGUAGAAGUUUCGUCUUUCUGCACCUCAUGUUGUACUCAUGUUGUAAACAUACCUUAUGCAGGUUGUCAAGUACCUUCUGGCCUCUUUCGACAUAAUCAAUUCAACUGAUAAUCACGGGAAUACAGCAUUACAUGUAGCAGCCUAUCGAGGGCACCAACCUGUUGUCGAAGCAUUGGUUACUGCAUCGCCAUCAACCUUGUCAGCUAUCAACAAUGCUGGUGAUACGUUUCUCCAUUCAGCAGUUGCAGGAUUCAGGACCCCAGGAUUCCGACGGCUUGACCACCAAUUGGACUUGAUGAGAUAUCUCAUACGCGAAAGAACGACAGAUAUCCAGAAGAUCAUCAACCUGAAAAACGACGCCGGACUUACCGCCCUUCACCUAGCUGUGGUUGGCUGCGCGCACCCAGACCUCGUGGAGCUCUUGACGACCACCCCGUCAAUCGACCUCAAUGCUGAAGACGCCAAUGGCAUGACCGCACUGGCACUGCUGAAGCAGCAGCUGCGUUCAGCAACGUCCGACCGCCUCAUCAAGCAGAUAGUCUCUGCCGGAGGAAUAUUGAAUUCCAGCAUUCUGAGAACCCGGUCAGCCAUCGCGUCCCAGAUUAAGAUGCAGGGGGGGUUCGCAAGCAGUCCCGGAACCACUUUCAAGGUAUCAGAUGCAGAGAUCUUCCUAUUCUCGGGUAUCGGAGCUGCAGAGUCUCAAAGGCCAAGCUCUUGCUCCAGCAAUGGCAAGGAUGACCCUGCUCACGCAGAUGCAAGCGGCGCGGAAAACCAUAGAUCGUCGGAGAAGAGGCUGAGCUCUGCGAGCCGUGCCAAGGACCGUCUGAAGAUGAUGCUGAGAUGGCCCCGGCACAAGGAGAAGAUGUCCAAGACGCCGAAGAAAUCGGAGGAGAGCAGCCCGCUGGACUCCAUCAAGAGGCUGGGCGAGCACGGCGUCGAGACCCCGGCUCCCCUGAGGCAGAAGUUCACCAAGACGACGGCGCUCAACGGAAAGCGGACGCUUGCGGUGAAGAGCUCCACCCCGAGCUCCUCGUCGGCCACCAAGAAGAAACUCAACACGAAGCUGAUCCACGGCAUCAUGGAGGCGAUGCCGCAGCUGGCGGCGCCGUCGUCCGCGGCGCGGUCCCGGGCCACGAGCGACACCCUCCCGAGGUCGUCCAUGUCGUCCACCGCGCCGCCACCGACGCUGGCGAAGCUGAAGGACAUCUGCCUGGACGACGAGAUCUCCAUGGUGACGCCGCCCCCCGUCGGGAGGCUGAAGGACAUCAUCCUGGACAGCGACGACGCCGCGGAGGAGCCCUCGUGCUCCAACUCGUCCAUGGACGAUGGCAGCGGCGGCGACACGGGAGAGAGCGCGGCCCGGAAGCACGGGUGCGGCAACGGGAGGCUGAUCAACAUCUGCUUCGGCGCGCAGGGCCUCACCGUGGAGGACUCGGUGAGCGGGCAGCCGACGAGCAAGAUGUUCAAGCAGCAGUGCCUCAGGGUGUCAUGAUUGGUGUGGUGCUUCGUUGAGCUCCAUGGUUAACUGAUGCGUGUAUCAUAGCGUGGUGUGAACUGUGAUUGGUUUGGUAUCUCUCGCGUGUAGCAAGGCGUGAUUGAUUUUCUGGCUGUGCCGCCUUGCAUUACUAGUGGCGAUCCAAUGUAUUUGUUCUUGUGUUAAACUGAUGCUGGUGACGAAUUCACAGCUCAUUUCUAAUUCAGAGACGUCCUUGAUUAAAACUUUAGGAGGCUUUUGGGUAAUCCAGUACAGCAAUAUCAAACAGGGAAGAGAUUUCUCGCUGGCAGGCAAAAGAAAUGGCGCCUUCACGACGACGACGACAAACUGCGGAAACGUAGUUACAGAAGAUAGAAGCAAAAAAACUGGACGUGCAUCUGCAAAACAACAUUUCCUGUAAAUGCUAAGCAAGAGCAGUUCAUUUCGCUCAUGCCCAACAAACUAGAACUUCCUUCACUACAUCAAAAUUCGGAUUUACAGCAGGAAGCAACUACACAAUCUAAAAUAAGAAAAAAAUAAACAACAGAAGAUGAGAACUGCUAUAAGCCGCUGAGCAAACCCACUUGAAAUAGAGGUGUUGCAGCAAACAAUGUGCCAUUUGAACCUCACCAGUUCGGCAUCAUUUUUGUAUUAUCAUGUUGCCAUCACUCUUCUGCGGUGGCGUCAAAAAAUUACCUUCCUCUAGGCACAUAAAUAUGUUCACUUUGGAGCUGUCCACGGUGACCUCGACCUCCAGUGCUCCUCCUUCAAGCACAAGAUCUCUCUGUUUUUACAAAUGUUCAAGGUGAUUUUCAUCCUCCAGGCUCGACUCACAUCAGCAGCACCAAAACUGAUGGCUCUCACACACCAGUUUAGAAGCAAUUGAGCAUCCACCGUGUGCAACUGUCCAGCCAUCACCAGGCAAACAUUUAGCCCCGAGAGGCGAUCGCUUUGUUGGAUCAAUAGGUUGGCAACAGCCUCUUGCCCUUGAAAGGGCACGGAAGCCAACACAGCACCAUCAAUUGAUCUCUCCUUCCUCUGCUUCUUUAACACUGGGAACACUGCUCGGCUCUUCGUCAUCCUCCUCCUCAUCUGCCUUCAUGAACAAUCCAAGUUGUUCCAACGGAUUGACAGAUCCCGGAAGAAAACCAGGCAUGCAAUCUUGGGAGUGCUCUGGACUAGUCUCAUCAACAGAGCUCACAAUAUGUUCUGCUGUGGCUGUUCCAAGCAUUUCCAAGUCCUUGAGAUGGAGGUUAUCAUUAAUUUCUACAGUUCUCUCCAUCUGCAUAUUGGAUUUAAUUUUUCAGCAAAAUGGCAAAAACAGGAAAUCACGAUUACUUGUAGAUGAGGUUUCCACUUACCUCCUGUAGGGCCUGGCGAGCCUUUUCCCUCUCGAAGUCCCGUUUCCGCUUCGCUUCGGCUUCGGCUUCAGCUCUACGAGCCUCCAUGGCUGCAUUGCCUUCAGCCAACAGCCGUGCUUUCUCUGCAUCCACAAAUAAUGAAAAAAACAACGCUUGAGGGAGGGAGGGAGGGAGGGAACAACUAGCAGCAACAAUUCAGGUGGAUAUGCCUUUUACCUUCCUUCUGGAGCUUUUCCAGUUCCUCCUGCUUGUCCCCACCCUGAACAAUAGAUCAAUAAAGGUCAGGGAUGAGUCACAUUAUGAACUGAAUCAGUAAUGGAAGAUGCUCAAUGAACAAGGUCCUAUUACCUGGCUCAGAAUGCCACGAGCUUUGACAAUCACAUCAGCGUAACGGCUCCUCAAAACGGCUGCUCGCAAGAGCCUGUCCGGUGAAACUUGCGUAUCGGGUUUUGAGUUUUCCCCUAAAUGUUUCAUUGGGAAAGGAUCAGAUGAUCCGAUCAUCUUAGUGCGCUGAGACUGCUCAACAGUCUCAUAUGCCUACAAAUUCAUGCUUACCCUCUGGUGCAGGCUUUGAUUCACUAUCCUCUUCACGGAGUCCCACAAUAUCAGCAGGACCUGUGGUUUAAGGACCCGUUAGCCCACAAAUAGAAAUAAUUCAAAAUACAGUUUGCAGCAGAAUAGCUAACAGUCACAGGAAGAAACCAUACAGUUGACAUCAGCUGGACUAAUAACGUCACUCUUUUCUUGCUCCACCAGCUGAUCAGGUUUCUUAGGCCCCUAAAAUUAAGGAAAAAAAGAUCAUUUCAGUACAGAUCAGUUAACUAAAUUGAAAGGAAAUCCACAUGUUGCCACAAGAAAUCUACAUCAGAAUAUAUAAAGGUUAACCUAUCAACAGAAUGGCAGGACAAUUUGAAUGCAGUUUUACAGAAGUUAACCUAUCAUAAGAACAAAGGUAUUUGCCAAAGAGACACGAAUGCUGCUGUCAGCAGGAGCAGCAAGAAAACAGGAGAUUGUUGGUAAAAAGUGCCAGUGACUAUGGUGGGAGUAAGCAAACAUCAGAAGAGAGGAAACAAACACCAAAACUGCCUCCAGUCACAAACAAAUGAUGUCUUGGACAUUGAUAGUCUCCGAAACAUGGAUUUGACUUAACACUUCUUUUACGAACCAUUUGUGAAACAUAGCAAAACUAUACUUUAACAUUUCCUGACAUCUAUCCAUACUCCAUACUUUUUUAUAAAUAUAUACAACAUUUAGGUAGUUCAAAAAUUAACAAAUUCGCUUGUCCAAACAAUUAACAUAACAUGUAACCGAAAUUUGAAUCAUUUAUUGAAGACAACCCCAAAACAUCACUUAUUUGUGACCGGAUGAAGUAAUAUAUUUAGACUACUGAUCACUCAAAUAAUCCAUUCACUAAUAAGGUUCAAAGGUCUAUUAUUAUUUCUAAAGCACCCAAUUAUAAUCACCCAAGUACCUUUGCAAGCUUUGCUGGGCUGCCUUGUCCAAACAAUUAACAUAACAUGUAACCGAAAUUUGAAUCAUUUAUUGAAGACAACCCCAAAACAUCACUUAUUUGUGACCGGAUGAAGUAAUAUAUUUAGACUACUGAUCACUCAAAUAAUCCAUUCACUAAUAAGGUUCAAAGGUCUAUUAUUAUUUCUAAAGCACCCAAUUAUAAUCACCCAAGUACCUUUGCAAGCUUUGCUGGGCUGCCCACUUUUUCAGAUUCGCUUUCAGAGUCGCUGCCUGAGUCAGAAUCUGCAUUACCAACACCAUUGUAAAAAUCUUGGGACUUUUUGAUAUCUCAAAACUGGAGAAGUUUCAAGACAGAUUUUACUAUAUGACUGUUCUGCGCAUUGCCCAAACAAUCAAAAGUUUCCAGGAGCUUAAUCUAUGAUGUUAGUUAGCUAUUAACUAGUACGGAUGAGGGAAGUGCAGCAUGGUGUCCUGCUGAAUUGAAUCCUUAACAGCCCAUUUCUUCUUUGAAUCCCGCUAAAAAUUACCAAAGGGGGAAAUCAUGACACGCACGACACUUGUUAAGUGCCAAGUUCGCUCCUCUACUUUUAGUUCCAUGCCAAAUUUGCCACUCCCUUCUCAGAGUUUUUAACUAACAUAGAAAUAUGAUACUAACAUAUUAAAAAAGAAAAACGUGAAGUGAUAAUAACCAUGUUUUCAAAGGAUUUACAUAGAGUUGGGAAGGAAAGCAGCAUUUUCAUUAUACAAGAAUGUCUAUAAUAAUAGUAAUAAAUGCAGAUAAACACUGUGAGACACAGACCGCUAGAAGAUGAUUCAGAUUCGCUGCUGGAACUACUUGGACUAACGCACUUGUUACUCCUGAGUUGUGCAUCUUUGUCUAACAUGAUUGGGGAGGCAUUGCCACAGAUAUCCACAUCCUCCUCGAUAGGCUCGCCACCUGCAUGCAAACCAAAAAACCAAAUUUUGACUACUGCACAAAAGGCAUGUAAUUUAAAUCCAGUGAGAAUUUCAAGGUAGAAGGAAAUAAACCUUUGCAAGGAUUUGUAGACGAGUGGCUAAGGCCAGAAACAUUCACAGCUUCGUUCUCAGAAGGCUCAGAUUUCACCUGCUGAUUCUGCUCUCGCUCCUGCAAAUACUUGUCAACCUGUUUCUUCAGCUCGAAUAGCAGGUCAUCACUGACUGCCUGGAUAUCAAUCUCUAUCUCUCCAUCACCAGCAGUAUCCGUAUUGCUGUCCAUGCAUUGCUGCAGCAGUUCAACGAUGUGAGCAGGUAAAUCAUCGGCUAUUUCUGCCAAUGAAUUCCCAAAGGCUUCUCUCUCAGCAGCUGUCAUCUUCGGCUUUACAGGCUCUGUUUGCCGUAGACCCUCCACUGACACAUCACUGCGGUCCACGGGAGGAGUUUUCCUCCUCUUUGAGUCAGCCUUGUCAACAUCAACAUGCUUCUCAAUGGCUGCAGAAGCCAACUUCUUCUCAACUGUUCUCCAUCUAUUUUCAAACAUCUUGUUCAGCUGGAUGGCCAUGUCAUGCACAGCAUGGCCACGAGGAUUGUAAGUCAUUGCGUUGUUGAAGGUCAGCCUAACAUCAGCAGCAAAAUCUGAUGGACUUGUGUAUGAGCCAGAUUCGAGCUUCUUUUGGACAGUACCAAGAUCCAUUGGGGUCUUGAUAAUGUCAAAGUAAUCAGGAAUUUGCAGCUUCACGACAUCAACUGGGAUAUUGAAUAUAUGACUAUAUUUCUGAGUCAUGAGCUUCUUCAAAAUAGCUUCACACUGCUUAAACACUGCAGCUUCAGAUAACUCCACAGAAGGUUCAGGCCGGGGUUUCGUAGGCAAGAACCGUCCCUUUGCACCACGGAUGACAUUGGUCCCGCGGUGCAGCUUCUUGGCUCGAGGGGCAGCCGAGGAAGACAACGCAGGUGCCCGACUCACAGGAGCAGGGGCUGCAAACGCUGGCUUCUUGAGGAGAUCUCGCACGGAAUCAAGCUCUGCCCGGAAUCUCUUCCGAAGAUACCGACGCUCAGACGAGGACAUCUUGGACGGCACAAAGAUCUCCCGCUUCACGUCAAAGCCAUCGCUGUUCAGGCUGAUGCACUUGCGCUUGGGCGCUGCCGAGACCUCGGAAUCAACACAAACAGGGCUGCCAGCUGCACCUUCCGACUCCCCAACAGUCUCUGAGUAGCCCCGAGGCGCGGCUGCCGCCACGCCCCGGAAGGCCAUUUCCUCAUAGCCCCGUUUUAUGGGCCUCUGCUGCCCAAACUCCAUUAGGACCGUCGGUGUCAUAUGCCCAGGCGCCAGCGGGACACGGAUCUGUUCACCAUUUACAACCAUCUUCAGCGACAACAGACACCAGAUUCAAACUUCACAAGCAACAAUACAAAGCAUGUACAGACCACAACUAACAAUAUCCUCUCCAAAACCCUUAUCCGAAACGGGAACCUAAUCCCAACCCGAACCCACCAACUGCGCACUAAUACAACGCCACACCGCUCAAAUCCUCAAAUUCGCGCCCGAACCAGAAACCUAGCCGCACCAAUCGAAGAAAACCCCCGAAAUCCGAAGCUACCCCCAAAUUCGAAGCAAGAAGGGAUACGAGCCCUGACCUGGUAACGCUGGAUCUGAAGGAGCUGGGACCCCAAGGACGGGAUCCGGGCGCGAGGGGACAGCGUCCAGGCGAGGGCGCGCCGGCGAGCUGGAUCUGCGCUGGAGAAGAACGGAUCUGGGAGCGCGGUGGCCGCCCGGUCGCGCCUCGCCUUAUCCUCUUUUUUAUUUUCCGCCUCCUCGCCGCUCGAGUCGAGUCGUCUCCGUGCUGCUUGCUUAUCCUUUUUUUCUUUCCUUUUCCUUCUCGAAGAGACCGGGCCUAGAGAGCGAGCGAACCCGAAGUGUGGAGACCCGCUACUGGCUCCCGCGCACCCGAACUCGAAGCGGUGCGGUGCGAGCAAUGCGACUGUGACGCGCGGGGUGGCGAGCGGGCUCGGGGUGCGUAUUUAUAGGCCUGGGAGGGGCGCCGGGGCGGUGCAAGUCGGAUCCGAGCCGUCGGCUCGCGGGGAUCGGACGGACCAGGAGUCAGAUCCGGGGGUGGGCCCGUGGUGAACGGGUGGGGCACGACGUGACGUGGAGGCCGGGGGCGCUUUGACUUUCUUCGAGAUGGUUUCCUACCGGACGCGGGGUUUGUCGCCUGAUGUGCCCAUGACCGGUGGGGUAGGGUGGUUGUCUGGGUCCACACAUCAUGGAGAGUGCGUCGGAGGGGAGGAGUAGGCGUUGGGGAUCGGCCGUCUUUUGUCGAGCACGCGGGAUCUGGGUACGGUUUGGGCGCGGGGGUGACUUGGUGGAGAAGGAUACAUGACACGUGGAAGCAGCUGCGUGGCUGGGUCCCCUGCUGAGGUGUCGGGCGAGAGUAUGUAACGGGUUUGGGGUUUUGGGUCCCGGUACAUCUGGAAGCAUAGGUGUGCCGGGUCGGCUUGGGCCGGGUCUUACAGCUUUAGGUCCACUUGUGUUAUGGACCAAAAACUUAUCGCUUUGCUGUUGUAUAAUACCCGUUAUUAGCCCAGUACGGUUACGGAAUGUGCUUUUUUGGGCCGUACUUUUGCACAUGGGGUGCUGGCGGUUUCAAACUUUUCAAAGUCUCGUGGGCUUAAUCUGGUUGCUUUCGAGAACUUCGAUUUUCCUUUUUUGCAAAGGACUUUUCGAAAUUCAGUUAACUAGAGGCCGACAAAUGUGUCAGCGGCCACCAAAGAAAUUAAUACCACGCUUGAGGAACAGAUUCAGGACGAAUUAUCUUUGGCUAAAGUUUUGGUUUACGCUUUACACACCUUCUAAUAUUUAAGAUGUUUGCUGUAAUAUAUGGAUGACUACAACUAUAUGGGUGAACAAGUCGACCAAAUAUAUAUGUGACCUCAUAAUUGUCAGUAUAUUUGAAAUGUUACGUUAAUAUUCCCAAAUUAUUGAAUCAGUUAAUCACGUUUAUAAUGUUGAAGGCAAUACGGAUAAGGUGAGCGAACUAGGUUAGCUAGCCAAUCAUAUGUGUAUUCGAUCCUCCAAAAAUGUUGAAAUGGCAUAUCCAAAAUAUUGAAAUGUUGCAAUUGUUUCGCCUGCUCUUAUCACGACUUCCAUCGCAAAAAUGAGUAGUCUGACAAGGUAUAUGGGCACAAGGAGCGUGUAAAAAAAAUUCCUUUUUAUGUGAAUCCUAUUGUUUUUUUAUUUGUGUUCUUGCCCUUCUUUAAAGUGUAAUUGUGAUUUUACCCUCGUUUCUCCAACUUUGUGAUUUUGCCCUCAAUUAUUCACAAGCCAAUGCGAUUUUGUUCCUAGUCAAUGGUCAAAACAGGAGUAAAUACGCAAAGAUCAAGAGCAAAAUCAUAUUGAAUUGUAAAUGGCUGAGGGCAAAAUCAUAAAGUUGAAAAAUCAAUGGUAAAAAUACAAUUGCAUUUCGGAGUAUGGGUAAGAUAAAAAAAACUUUGUUUUUGCCGUGCCAGAACAAGACCCUGCAAUGCCAGUGGGUCAUCGGCUCAUCGCUAGUGAACCUCACAAUGCACGUUCGAUUCUCUUUUCCAUCCAAAACAGUGCCUACAAUCAGGAAUGCUUAUGAGACCUGUGCGACUGCAAACACGCGUCCCGCUCAUAUUCGCUGCUGUGCAGGGGGGCUAGGGGCUAUAGCCCCCCCUUUGCCAAGAACACCAUUGAAAUCAAUGGAGGAAGAUGAGAAGAGAGGGAAAAAAGAAGAAAGAGUGGAGAUGGACUUGGAAGAAGAAAUAAAGCCCACCCAAACUCCCAAUCCUUCAUCCGACCACUGCUGCUGUGAAAUGGAUUGUUAAUAAAUCGACUUGCAUAGACACAUGCCACAAGUCCUCAACAAGCUAAGGCCGGUCAGUGUCACGGGGCUUUUGUGGGCAUUUAAUUUCAUGCCACAUCAGCAAAACUGCUGACGUGAUAGGCUAAUUAUGAGGAGAGAAGAGACGGGAGUUUCAUCCCCAUGAAACCUACUUGUCACAGUUACCAAGUCCUAUGAAAUUCAAUAAAACUUGUACUGAGCAUGUUAUGGUUUCAUGACAAGACACAUUUGAUUAUAGAACAACGUAAAAAUUAAAUGAUUUAAGCCCUGUUGGAUAGUAACAUCCCACUUUUAACACAUUUUUAUCACAUUGCCUCCCAAACACAUGUGUUAAAAGGGAUGUGUUAAAGUUUAACACCCCAAUUUCAUAAACACCUCAAGGGGGUGUUAAAAGUUGUUAAACUUGUUAAAAGUGGUCCCCUCUCCACUUUUUUCCACCAUUGCCCCCCUUUCUCUCUCCCUCUCUCUCCGCCGGCCAUAAAUGAGGGGGCAAUGGAGUCAUUUCCCACCAAAAGUGUUAAAGUUUAACACCAUCCAAAUAUCCCAAUCACUCCAUUUGAGACUAUUAAAACUUUAACACUUAUUAAACUUUAACACAAGGUAUCCAAACAGACCCUUAGUCUAUUUGAAACUGUGCAAUGAAAUUAUGCGUUGAGAGUGUUACAUUUCAUUGAAAAUCUGACAUAGCACUCUUAGUAAUUGUGCGAUAAAAUCAUGCACUGAGAAUGACAUAAUACCAUCUCCUAAAACGGAAAUGCAAAGCCGAUGGACCAUCAAUGAUCAAACAACCGAACAAAUCUAGGCAUGCCGGCAGGCCGGGGCACGGCGGAUCCGCGACCUACCGCUCCCCGCGCACAUGGCCGUCGCCUUGGAUCCUAGCACGCCGGAGGGGAACAAAACCACGUGCUCGCUCCUUACGCGCACGCGGUUCUAUCUCGAGAGCCCCAUGACGCCCGGCUACGAACAAAACCGCUGCAGGCGCCGCCCCGAAUCUCAAAGUGCCGGGGGAGGCUCAGCUCCGCUCGUGCGCCACCGCGCAGCGCGCCGCGAAACAGGGGUCCCAGGUCCGGCGGUGGCAUGUUUUCUGGACGCCAACCUUUUCUGUGCCCCUGCAGCUCGCAGCUCGCUGACGCUGAUGGCGAUGGUGAUGCCGUGCGUGCGUGCUUGGUCGCCCGGAUUUGGGGGGCGAGGCCGCUUUGACCCCCCGAGAAGCGGUCAUGUGCCGGGGUGCCCGUCCGGCCAGCCGCGCGUCGCCGAGCUGGCCGGAGGGAGCACGGUGUGCCGCUGUGCGCCGCGCGUGGCACAGUGCCGAGGCCAAUCAUGAGCCCCCGCCUCCGGCCUCCGGGCAUUUUCUGGUGGCUCUGGCUCCCCGUCCCGCCGCAGAGCAGACGUGACGCGCAGUCACUGCACGCCGUCGCCAUCGCUCCAUUCAGUGCACCCCUCGCUCUCUCGUGUCAUCCAGCUAUCUCGUGUCGUACGUCUUGGCAACCUCUUCUUAUUCCCGCCCCCCUGGUCCCUGCAUCUCCGAGCUUACCUCAGCUUGCUGCCAUCUUUUGCUGUCCUUCCAGUUCAGACCACUUCCUGUCUCUGCCAUCCAGUGGAUCGCCGUUCUCUGUGUCCUUGUUCGUCGUGUGCAGUUCUUGGAGAUGAGGAGAUCGUCUCCGGGGAUGAUGAACCGAAGCUACGACGCGGGCAGCGGGGGAAGGGGGCUGCUGGCCUGCUACGUGAGGGCAAAGCCGAGGCCGUCCAAGUGGGACGACGCGCAGCGGUGGCUCUCCGCCUCCUCCUCCUCCUCCCAGGCGCCCGACGACGACCGGCGCCGGAGCUCCUGCGCCGACGACCGGCUGCUGCUGCCGUCCGCGUCGCAGAAGGGGAGGCACUCGUGGAGCACCUCGGACGCCGCCGCCGCUGCCGUGCCCGCGGCGGCGCGGGAGGACGGGGAGGCGGAGGCCGGGGCGGAGACCAAGAGGAUGGACUCCGUGCUGGCGUACGGGCAGCAGCCGCCAAGGAGCCUCUCGCUGCGGGACAUCGGCACGGAGAUGACGCCGGCCGGGAGCAAGGAGGCGUCCAGGGCCAACACGCCUCGCGCCACCCUGGCGGCCGAGCCGUCACCGGCGCCGUCCACGACAAGGCGCUCGAGCGAAUCCCACGCGUCGCGGCGCCGGCCGGACGCGACGAGCGGCGGAUCGCCACCGGGCCAAGCGGCGGCCGCGGCCUGCGAUGGCGCCGGCGCCGGCGCCGAGGAGCGGAAGGAAGCUGCGGCGGCCGGCGCGCCGGCGGCCGUGUCGCCGGCCACGGCGUGGGACGCGGCCGAGCGCGCCAAGCACAUGGCAAGGUGACCGCCGGCCCAUCCCUCCUUGUCCGCUACUACUAGCAAUGCGGUGCUUUCUCUUUCUCCUCCGCACGUUGCCGAGCCAUGUGUACUCACCACCGAGUCAUCGCGCCGACACGCCAGGAAGACCUUUUCGGAGCUUGUAGUACUGUGCGUGCUGACGACGUCACUUCCUUUUCACAGGUACCGGCGCGAGGAGAUGAAGAUACAGGCCUGGGAGAACCGGCGGCGGCAGAAGGCCGAGCUGGAGAUGAAGAUGGCCGAGGUACGACCACGUUUCAGCUCCAUCAAUCAUCCUGCAGAUAACCAUUGGACCUGCCGAACACCAGAGAAGCAGCCCUAAACGUUGAACUUCGGACAAUGAGAAUGGCUGGCUUGGUUUUGCUGUGGCAGGCCAAGGCGGAGAGGAUGAAGCUGCGGGCGCGGGAGAAGACGGCGAGCAAGCUGGCCUCGGCGCAGGCGGCGGCCAGGGAGAAGCGCGCGGCGGCGGAGGCCAAGCUGAGCCGGCGCGCCGCGCGGGUCGGGGACAGGGCGGACGUGCUGCGGCGGACCGGGCACCUGCCGUCCUCCUCCGGGUUCUCGCUCAAGCUGCCGCUGCUGUGCAGCUGAACCUGAACGCGCGAGGCCGGGCACGUGCCGGGGGCGCCGGGGUCGCUUGCGGGUUUGGGACUUGGGACAUCGCUCGUGCGCGGUAUAUUUCCGGAUCCGGGCGUUGUUGAUACGUGGCCGAGCAGUGGUGGAUGCACGUGUGUGUUUUUGUUGUCUGGUGGUGGCUAUGACUACAGACUGGAGGGUGCGUGCGGCGUGGGGUGUGGCAGUGUCGAUACGGGUGGUGUUCAGAGAGUCGACGACAUGGUCGGGGCGUUUACUCGCGUCCUGUUUCGACCGUGCGGGUUGUGAUGCACGGCACAGAGUUGAAGGCGGUAUUUUAUCUGCAAAAGUCAAUAAAGAAAAAAAAAGAUGCAUUUUAAAUCUUCUUCACGGUUUCAUUUUGACUGGAAGGAGCGGUAAUUGUUAGUACUCUUAACGCAUUCAAACAGAUGUUUACCUCUCAGCUCUUCUUUCAGCUGACUGAAAAAGGAGUGAUAGACGUAAAUGCUCUUAGUCGUAAAAUGUUUACCUUUUGUUUUCUGCCACGCUUCAUUUCUUUCCCUUAAUUAGUAUUUUGAUACUUCUCAAAUCAUCAGCAAAGUUUCAACGGAAUGACUAUGGUGGAAAGGUUCUUAGACAUAAAACUAUGUGCUGGGCUUUUCCUACGAAUCUUCCACGAGUAAUGACGAGCAGGUACUGAGCGCAUCAGGUUUGAUGGAAUUAUCCACCGGACGAGGGAUUUGUUUUAAUUCCUUUUUCAAGAAAAUGGUAGUGCGUGUACUGUUGUUCUCAUAUUCUCCAAUAUUCUCUCUUUUCAUAUCUCCAUGAGAUCCUUGAUUAAGAAAGUUCAACUUCCAACCACUAAUUAUAUAUCACUUUGCUCAAGCCAUAACUGUUAAGUCUCGAUCUCUCCUUCACUCAAACCGGGGUUGGCUUACAUCGUGCAAAACUUCAACCAUGAAAAAUUGCUAAGUCGAUAUACACCGGUGUUUGGCUGGAGACCUUGUUGGCCUCAUUUGGAUGCAACCAAUAACUUAAAUGUGAUUUUGGUACUUGUACAUUUAUUAAAUGUCACACGCUUUAGAUCAUUGUUUGCAUUUUUCCUCUGACAAUUGCUUUCAAAUUCAAUGCAUGGCUAUAUCUAUGGUGCUUGCAUUCUACACCUCUUUUUUUUCUUUCUUUCUUCCUUUCUUUUUUCUAAAGGGUUGCAUCCUUCCACUAGGGGCACUCCAUUCCUCUUAGAAAGUCAUGUUUGGCGCCCCCCGGCUAAAUUUCUUCUUGAUACCUUGGUAUUUUUAUCAAUAUAGUUAGAGUGUGCCUUAAGCUAUUGUUGUUAGUCGUUUGCCAAAUUGCCACAUACGUCUCAUCUUACCCUUCACCUCCGUGACAUCGAUAGCGCUUUUCUUCACUUUUACAAUUGCAUUUUUUAUUCAUUAUAGCAUCAUUUUUUUUGCUUGAGACCUCAUAACCUCAUGCUUGAAUAGUUACAGCCGACAUCGAACUAGUGUUGCAUGUUUGCGUUGCCACAUUUGUCUCUUACCGUCCGGAUUUCUUUCCUUGCCAAGCUCUUCACACCUAACUACAUCGCGUAGGGGUGGCCGGGUGGGCAUCUCAAUACAAAUUGUUUUGCACCUCAAUCUUGGGCUACUUAUACUUCUAUUUUGUAAACGAAAUAAGCUGAAAUGAUGAAACUAUUUAUUUUCUUGUGAAGCCAUACGACAAUAUGCAUUCAUAUAUGUGAUCGACAGACUUGAUGCAAAGCCACUGUGCUAUGCCUUGUCAUAGUUCCUAUUCCAUACAAUUUCUUCCGAGAGGUCGUUGCCAUUCCAUGCAUUCGGGUAAGGAAAAUCUGCUUAAAACCGACAUGCCAUUAUUCUUGUCAAACCGGUAGCCACUGACACCGUGCCCCACCCUCAAGUCGGCGAGGAAGCUUCUGACCACGCGCUCCCGCCAAAGGCGUCGGACGUUACCGUGACCUGCCCAAAACCCACUGACAACUUGGAUCCGCCUCAGUACGUACAUCAGACCCCACCUGUCAUCGGCAUCGCUGCUCCGCGCCCCGCCCGAGUUCGACGCGGUAUCUCCACGAAGCCGCACGAAGGAGUGGACAACUCAAGCUUUGCCUUCCCAGUUCCCCCCUCUCCAUUAUUCGCGUCACCGAGCCGCCUCCAUCGCCCCAAGUCCAACCCACCUGAUUCCUCUCCGCGUCCGCGCGUCGCCGCCUUUCCGAUAAAGCUUUCGCGCGGCGCAGGCAAAAUCGCUCAAAUCCGAGCCCCGGUUCUCCCAAUUCUCCGAUCUGAUCGUUGUGAGGUCUUGUCCUACCGCCAAUUCUACCCUAGCGCGCCCGAAUUUUUUUUCUAGGGUUCGCGGUUGUAGUUCGGGGAUCUAGGGUUCGGCUGCCAAUUUCGCCGUCAAUUUUGGCGAUCCACUUGAUUCGCUCGGUUUUGAGGGAUCCCUGCUUGCGCCUGCGCCCAUGGCCGCGGCGCGACACGCAGGCUACAGGAGCCACGAAGUGGCGAGGGGGCGGGAGCUCGACCUGGAGCGCUCCAGAAGGAGCAAGGAGUAUCACCACCACCACCACCGCCACCCGAGCCGCGACCGUGACUCUGACCGUCGCCGUGACGCUGGCCGCAGCGGGGGCCGCGAGGUCUCCAACCGGCACCGCCACCACCACUCGCCGUAUCCGCCACCGAGGAGCCGACCGUCAAGAAGGGAGGAGGAUAGGGAGCCUGGCGAGGUCUCGAGCGGCAGCGGCUCGGAGGAGUCCGGUGGGCGCCCACUGAAGGCCAGGGCGCCGAGGGAGGAUGGUGUUCUGGGAGUCUGCAAAGACGGCAGUGUGGUGCUACCAAGUAAGAAGAGGAAGCACUCACCUGUAAUCCCGGAUGAGAAUGUUUCUGAGCUGCAGGCAAUAGAUGGUUUCAGGAGCAGGAGAGGGAUAGACACCUCAGUGGCGGAGCUCCCUCUGCCUUCGCCGCCUCCUUUAUCAGAUGAGAGUCCUAUGGACGCGGUUGGUAGGUGCCCAACAAUGAAUUUGGGUGUUUCAGUGGUUACACAUGAGGCCGAAUGGUCUCAUGAACAUGAGAAGAAUGGGGUUAUGGAGGGGGAAGAGGACUGCCCAACAACGAGAAACAUUUUGACUUCAAGAUGGGCAGACGCUGAUCAGGACGAGGAAGAGGCGACUGUGCCCAAAAAGAAGAGAAGUGUGUCUCCUGGUAACUUGUCUGCGCUGAGAUCUACAAAGAAAGUUACAAGCCCAGAGCUUGGAGAAGCACUGCGGGUUAAAACAAGAGGGAGUUCCUCAUGUUCGUCUAACUCUGUCUGCAGUGAAAACUGGAAUAUUGAGGUUGAUGGGGGUGACUGCAUGGAUGUUGAGGAGGAUGGUAUUGAUGCUUCUGCUGGUUGUUCACUGGAUGUUGAUUCUGGGAGUGAUGCACGCAGGUCUAGAACACCUGAGGCUGUACAGCCGCCACGCAGGUGCUUUAACAUGCUUCAGAGCUGUAGGAGUAUUGAUGAGUUCGAGAGGCUCAACACAAUCAAUGAGGGUACAUAUGGAGUUGUAUUUAGGGUGAGGGACAAGAAAACUGGUGAGAUUGUUGCAUUGAAGAAGGUAAAGAUGGAUAAGGAACGGGAAGGUUUUCCAUUGACUUCUCUUAGGGAAAUAAAUAUCCUUUUAUCUUUUGACCACCCAUCAAUUGUGGAUGUCAAGGAAGUAGUUGUUGGUGGUCAUGAUGAUGAUACUUUCAUGGUGAUGGAGUACAUGGAGCAUGACCUGAAGGGUGUCAUGGAGACGAUGAAGCAACCAUAUACCCAAAGUGAGGUAAAAUGUUUGAUGCUUCAGCUGCUAGAGGGCGUGAAGUAUCUUCAUGACAAUUGGGUACUUCACAGGUAGUGACAAACUACUGAUUCUUUUUCUUCCUCAUCUUGCACAAUUGUGAAUGCCUUUUCAUAUAAUAAUGUCAUGUUGCUUUGUAGGGAUCUCAAGACAUCAAAUAUCCUCUUGAAUAACCGUGGUGAGGUGAAAAUAUGUGAUUUUGGACUCUCCCGUCAAUAUGGCAGCCCGCUAAAGCCUUACACUCAACCAGUUGUAACUUUGUGGUACAGGUAAGUUAUCAGCCAGCAUAAAAUUUCUCUAAGUGUUUUCAUAUCACGAGGAUAAUUUACGUUACCACUAGUCCAAUGUUGUCUCAUUAUUUACUCCUUAUGAUUGCAGGGCUCCAGAACUACUUUUAGGAGCAAAGGAGUAUUCUACUGCUAUUGAUAUGUGGUCAUUGGGUUGCAUAAUGGCAGAACUCUUGUCAAAAGAGCCACUCUUCACUGGGAAAAAUGAGAUAGGUCAACUUGAUAAGGUAUAUCAUUUAUAAAAUAGGUCUACUCUAUUUUGUUUUUAUAGCUGCGUUUGUGAAAUCUAAUGGCAAAUUAACUUAUAUUGUAGAUAUUUAGAAUACUUGGCACACCCAAUGAGGAGCGAUGGCCUGGUUAUUCCAAAUUGCCCGGUGCCAAAGGCAAAUUUGUAAAGCAACCGUAAGUCUCUACCAUUUCUUACUGCUGCUGUUUUUGUGUUCUGAAAUGCACGUUCAUAUCAUGUAAAGUCUUAGUGUCUUACUUUUGAUAUGCCACCUCAGGUACAAUAGAUUGAGGGAGAGGUUUCCACCUGUAUCCUUCACAGGAGGGCUGACAUUGUCAGAAGCUGGAUUUGAACUGCUAACUAGGUUGCUGACAUAUGACCCUGAGAAGGUAAAUAUAUAUCAAUAUAUGUUCUCUAUUGCACUACCUGACUUUUCUAUGCUCAUUUUGCAUGCAGCUUAAUGUACUUGUUUCUUUUAUACAGCGCAUAUCUGCAGACGAUGCCUUGAACCAUGAGUGGUUCCGUGAGGUUCCUCUGCCCAAAACAAAGGAUUUCAUGCCAACAUUUCCUGCUCUGAAUGAACAAGACAGGUACUGAUCUACUUGCUCAUUUGGAUUUCUAAUACUAACCGCAUAAACUGAAUUUUGACUAAUGUGGCUAUGUAUCGCAUACUUGGUGUGCAGGAGGAUCAAGAAAUACAAGAAGAGCCCUGAUCCCCUGGUGGAGCAACAGAUGAAAGAACAAGGGAGCACAGGAGAUCGUGGCCUUUUUGGCUGAUCUGACACCAGAUUUUGGCUUGCUGCAGAAAACCAGUUUUCACUGUGAAUAAUUGUGAGUAAACAUGUUCCAAGGUGAGGUCUCACUGGACAUGAAGUAACCAGUCUACUUGGUGUGUGUGAAAGUUGAUUCUGUUCUAUAGCAGGCACAGUUUCAAGGGGGAAUAAGAUAUUUCCUUAAGUUCCAUGCAGCUAUUGUUCAAAUGGCAGGGUUAGCUCUCUCACAGAAAUCUGGUCACAUUCUAAUCCACCAUCAUUAUAAUUGCCACAGAUCCAGUUCACUUGAGUUUCAGUUUCAUCUAUAGGUCUGGCCUAUUGGGUGCACCAGUUUCACCUUUGAAACUUCUUUGUAAAGUAUUAUCAAUUGUUUCCUUGUAAUCAGUAAUCAAUGAGAUAUUAAUGAGAUCCUAUUUAAUUUUUGCUCUAUUCAAGUAGUUCAAUUUCUUUUGAUCUUUCCAUUUUGUUUGCAAGAGUUGAACGAAGUGAUCGGGAGGGUGCCUUUUGAUUUUGCAAGGAAAUUGGUGCACUCUUAUUGCAACUUGUAAGGUAAAAUGCUAAGGAGCCUAUUUCUCCUACUGACGUGCUAUUGUGUAAUAAAUGCGAUGGAUCUGCCUCUUUCAUUUCCUAUUUUAAUUUUAUUGAAGACUGCUUUGUACUGAAUAGAGUAAUGAUUAAUGACUGCUAUGAUGUCCUCUGGUACUGCUUUUAAGUUGUUAGCUUGGUUCCUGGCGCGCCUGGUCAUGUAACUGUUUACCUUAGAGGGGAAUUUCCUGUUAGGUUCUUCAUUUUCAAGGGUGCAAAUGUUUAGCUUAGAGGGGAAUUUCCUGUUUCACAAAUUAAUAAUGACAUCAGACAGUUUGGAUCACUGUAGAAAGAUUUCUAUGUAUGUAGCAUUGUCUGGGAAUGGCAAUGGAGAACCUUGGUUUUAAAUGUAUGAGUUCCUUCAGCCUUAUGCAGUAGCCUAAAUGGCUUCAGAAUGUGGAAACAUAGAUCUAUAUCUUUUGUUGGUUGCUUUGUUGAACACACAGUGAUGUAACUACGAUGUUUGGAGCUACUGGCUCCUAAAAAAAACAGACAUUCUUUGUUUUAUAUUUUUUGACUUGGAACAUUCUUCUAAAUAUGCCAUAGUUUUCUAAUGUUCAGUUCUAAAAGCUUAUCUACACUAUUACAAUAAAAAAUUGCAGAAUUUUUCUUAGUGAUGGUCCAUGCUGUGAUUUUCAGCUAUGCAUUUGGUGUUAGAUAAGCCUUCUCAGUUUCUUAGGUGCUGGAUAAUUGAAGACGCUGAGUUCUUCUUAACAUUGUAUCUUGGCCUGAUAAUCCUUGCACAUGUGCUAAUAUAUUCGUUUCAGCGAGUUUAUCUAUUGUAACCUAUUAUUGCUUCAGCUUAAGCCAUCUCUUGUGAGACACUACUGCAUAUGUGGUUGGCAUCUUUGCUUGAAUUUGUCAAACUAGAUCUAGCCAUUGUUUGGGAAUAGGAUAUUUGUUCUGUUAGACCUGAUCCUGAAGAUUUUCUGUUUCCAAGGUAGAGAGUUUACUUAACUCACUUUAAACAUUAUGUGACACGUCUGCAGCUUAAAGCUGUGGCUGUAUCAAGACAGGAAGCUCUCGUUGAUGUCAGACUGGUAUACCUAAACUGACUUAUCUUUGUGUCUGGGCCUUCAAAGGUCUCAUCUGUCUUUGUGAAUCUGUGGGGUCAGUCUACUAUCCUAUCUUAUAUGUACAUUCGUGCUUUAUAUGCUAAAUUAUUUGUUAAUCUUCUCCUGUUCUUUGCUUGGCAGAGUUCAGGUCAGCUAUUUUGACUACUUUGGUAACCCGUGAUCUCUGCAUCCUUCCACUCCAGUUUUGUUUUGUGCUCAUCAUCACCCUUCUAUUAUUCUGUGAUUUGUGGCAUGAUGAAUGUUAUUGGUUUGGUACUUUUAUUCACAAGGAGCCAAGGACAUACUCUGCAUUAAGACUAUGCUCACCAUCUCAACACUUUGCACUUGUCCACGGUUUUCAGUCAUGCUUCUAUUCUUAUUAUUGCUUGGAAUAGUUAUGGAGGUAGUUCAAAAAAAAGGAGAAAUAUGUUUUUGCCUUACAUUUUGAUCAUAAAUAACUUUUCCAGUUGUAGGGUAAUGUUUUAUUUUCCUAGGUUGAUUCUGUAGUGGAAUGUUGAUUGCUUAAGAUUUUCUCUUGCAAGGUUGUUUGACCUUCCUAAUGUGGGUUUACUGUUGUAUAGGUAUAUUUGCUACUAAUGCAUGAUCACUGUCUUGUUUUUUUGGCUAGUGCUUUGUUAAUGUUUCUCAGUUGAGUCAAUGCUAUAAUUGAAUAGCCUGUGAAGUACAUGAAUGUUUUUUACUGACCUUAGUGAGCUGCAUGCCAUUGUUGAAAAUGUACAGGUCUUUGUUACUCUUGAUAUACCAUCCUAAUUUUUCUGUUUCUUUAUCGGGGUUUGUUAAAUAAUCUGCUGCCCUUGCGUAAUUGCUUACUGUGGCUGAAUCUUGCGUUGUGAGUUGGUGACAUCUAAAAUUUUGUCCUGGUAGUUCUACUUGUACACAGGAUAAACUAGAUCCAGGACUGAAAAAAAAUUACUUCCCGUAUGCAUGAACAUGACAACCAACUUUGAGUUUCCUCUACCGGCAACAAUAAUGACAGUAAAAAAACAACAAAGCUUAUUAGUCUCAAGCAGGUUGGAGUAAAGUGGAGAUAAAAUUCAAUAAGCACCAACAAAGAUGAUACUCCUAUAUAAUUGUGGUAAUGAUUAUAACAAGUUACCAAUCUCUGUUACUAGCUUUUGUGAUGUUCUGUGAGAUCAUGUUUGCCUGAAACCCAACUUCUUGGUUGCCUGAAAACUUAGGACUCUGUGAUACUACCAUUUUUCUAUCGUUAAUAGUUCAGUGCAUUGCAGUUGCAAUUAUUAUUAAGUGCAUUGUAGUUGUCGGGAAUUAUAAUGUAAUUAGCAAGAUCUAAUGUCUGAACCGCAGAAUGUUUAAGAAGCUUUAUUUGUGGCAGUCCAUUGUGUCCAUCAAGCUUGUUUAAAACUUCAAAUAAAUGGUAUAGAUCUCCAAUGUUCCAUGGUGGCCAAUUGCCAUCUCCAUUUCCUUACCACACAUGGUGAAGGCACAUUCAGGUCAGAUCAAGGACUGGCAGAGAGGGCUAAUAAUAGAUAGCUACGUUGAUUACUAAUCACUAUUUCAAUUUAGAAUCUUAUAUUUGAUUUAUUGAAAAGAUACUUACCAUGAGAUGUAAGCUGUUCAUUAAAUUGUUAAAGGCCACUCCUAUAUCAUGGUGGCAUAUCAUCAUCGGGUAAUUCAACCUAGUCCUCAUGUUGUCCUUAAGUUCGUCCCCUUGUAUGUCCUUUAAGUAUACUUUCAACUGUAUUAUGAUUUGUGCUUAAGUCUUAAAAAUUUUCCUAACAGAAGACGUGAUUUCUAAAGGUUUUGUUGUAUCUCUUUGAAUACUACUCCUGUGGGAGCUUAAUAAAUUCUGUCUUAAGCGAAUUGUUCUCGUUUUGGUAUUAUUUGUGGCUCAUGAACUUGUUUUAACCCUUGUAUGUUGCUCAUUUGUUUUGUGGGAGUGCAAAUGCUUAAAAGCCAACGAUCAGAGUCUGGAGAGGCAAGUCCUUUGUGCGCUGACCCAGGAACCUCAUGAUACAUCCAUCCGACGGGUCGAGCUUGGUUUAACAGAUGCUGGAGUUUAUUAGCCUCUCUUGGAUUUGUCUAGGAAUAAACCUUGGCGGAGAGAUCUCUGUAGAUAUUUCUGGUCGAGCUAAUUAUUAUGAUUAAUGCUGUGUAAAGAUUUUCAAACCACGAUGGUUGUAAGGUGUUUUUUUGUCUCUAGAUGCAUCUAAAUAUAAUUUAUGUUCUAGAAAAGCAACGACCUACAAUUUGAAAAGCAACGACCUACAAUUUGAAACGGAUGUGGAUUUGAAAAGGAGGUAGAAUAUUUCUCUUUUAUGCGAGUUGACACUACGAUUUUGCCCGGAGAACCUCCUGCAGUGGACGUGCUGGGCAUUGAAUAUAGCUGAGUUUUGAAACCAUACGUUGAAGCAUGCAUGGAGAAUUUCCGCAGUUUGUAAACAGCGUAUGAUUCUUUAAAUAUUGCCGACGUUAUGCGGUAUAGUGCUGUAAUUCAACAUAUCCGCUUUACGGCGAGAAACGGACGUGUUAAGACUUCUCAGAGUCCACGAUAUGAUAUGUGUAUACGAUUGAUUAAUUGUUGCCUAGGGUUUCUUUGGAUAUUCGAAAUGCAAACCUCCCAGUCAGCAGUGCCAGAACCAGAAAGCGUGAUCUCCAAUAUUCCAUGGCCUCCUGAUCUUCUCUCUUGUAUGCAUUGGUCUCGCAGACAACGGACCCAUGUGGGCCCAGCACCGGCGCAUGAUUUGACCGGGCCCACUUCCCGGGUACAGCGCUUUCCAGAAACAGCCCCGGCCACCGUCUCGCCUACACCCACCGGUAUUGCCUGGUGCUCGGCGAUUCCGCCCAUUCCUCCACUAGCGCGGGCUGGCAAGGUACUCUUCCACCUCCUCCCGACCUUCCCACUCUUUCCCCUCACGGGGUGUCCUCCCAAUCGGGGCGCGCGCAUAGGCGGAUCGAUCCCUCUUGCGGUCGUCGUCCUCCGCCGGACGAAUUUAGGGGGCGUUGCGUGGCGGGGUUGAUGCUCUUCUCCUUGGAAUUCGGUGCUGCCAUGCGUUUCAUCCUUAUUGUCCAUCCUAGCUAGGUCACCCGUCACGCGGCGGGCGGCGUGUCUCACGGUGCGUCUCCGCGGCUUUGAUCCUCAUUCGCGUUUCAGUGGGGUUUGGUCCGAUUUGAGUAGCUAUUUCUGCAAGCGGGGCAGAUGGGGUGCGAUCCCCUUUGUCCGUGGUGUAUUGGGGAUAUUCUUCCUUCCUGCUGUUGCCUUUUUUGUUACUUUUGUUUGCAUCAAUUAUACCCUAAAGCGUGCUUAAUUGCUGCAUAAUAUUUAACAGUAUAAAAAAAAUCGGUGCCUAAUUGUUGUGUUCAUGUUUUAUCGAUGGCAGUAUUUAGUAUGGAAAUCAGAUGUGCCCUUGACCGAACACUGUUUGGUAUGGUUGAUGUCUUAUGCCGAUUUAACUGUGACUCCUUCAGUUAGGAGUUCACAGUUCGACCCCAUCCUAUAUUAUAAUUUUCUAUUUUAUGAUUUAUCUUUUGGUUGAUGUGGAGUUACGUAGCUUUUGGCAAAUAGUGAUGUUCAGGAUGAUGUUUCAUGGGGAACCUUGACCAUCCCAUGAUACCGAGGAUAUUAGAUUGACUUCUCUUUGUGGAUGCUUACCUGGUGACCUAUUGCAAAUUCUCAGGCUGUUUUCUUGAGUUGACUUGCAGUUUGUUGGCACGCAAUGAAAGCUAAAGAACCCAAGAAGGCAGGGUUAGUGCCAUCUCGAUUUCUGUUCAAUGUAAAUAUUUGCCCAGCAAAGUGCCAUAAUCGUUCUGUUUCAGGGGUCGUGUCAAAUGGGAUGAAGAGAACUUGAAUGACAUCGAGUCAAACAAACCAGAAAGAGAGAAGAUCACCGAGCCCAAGACACCUUACCACCCUAUGAUUGAUGAGGAUGAAGGUAUGUAAUCUGGUCAUCUUGGCCUUGCACAGUGCACACCGAAUCCAGAUUCCUGCUUUUCUGUAAAUACAGCCACCAACGAUUCUCAGAUAACAUGAAUUUGAUUAUCCACUCUGAUGGGCAGGGCCUGUGUCACCAUUACAACUAAGUGAAGAGCCAGUGGAUAAAUCUGCUCAUGCUGAUGCCAUCAAGACUGCUCUAGCUGAAGCUGUUUCCAGUGGAAAGAUUUUCGACAGAAAUAGUUGGGAAUCAUGUGACAAUGAAGAAGCCAUAAAACAAAGCACAGGUUGUUAAUCUGACAUCUCUCUUUGACGAAAUUCUGUUAUCCACUCUAAUGCAAAAAUGGACAACUAAUUGCUCAUGGAUAAUUAAUUGCUCUUCUUACUAUCAUCCACUGCUUGUGCUAACUCCUUAUGGUUCCAUUGGCAUGAUACAGUUUAUCUUCUAACCUCCCUUUUAUUUUGCCAUAAAUCCAACAAAGUGACACACUAAAGGAGAUAACAUAGGUUCUUAAAUCUCCUGUGACGAUUUUUUAUCUGUGAAUCAGUUUUACCUACCUGUAGGCUGUAGUGCAGUUCUUCGACUUAUUUACAUUUGGAUUCAGAAGGUAUUAGUACAUAGAAACAUCACCUAUCAUGAUCUACUUGCUGUGUAUGGUAUAUCAAAUUCUUUUCAGCAUGCUCGGUUUUCUCUUCACUUCAGUCAUGACUUCUUCUAAACCACUGAUUUUCAACAAUUAACUGCAUGGUGAGAAGAUGUGAAGCCAGUUUGGUUUAACAUGACAAAUUAGCGCUUUUUGUGGGUAACUAACAAUGGUUCGGCUAACUUUGAUUAUCACAAAUGGAGAAAUUUGUCCCAUAUAUUUUUCCUUUUGACUAUUUUGUGUUCGGAGCAAGGUAGAACUAACAACUCAUGUCCCUUUGUAGCUUUUGAGGAGCACCGGAAGGUUCACUACGAUGAAUACCAUAAGAUGAAGGAGCUGCUUCAGAAGGGAACCAUGACUGAUGAUGCAGAUGAAGAUGAAAGUGAACCAGACAACAGGAAGGAGUGACAGUUCUGUCCCGGUCCGAACGCGGAACUGUGAUUAGAAGAUCUUCAGCAUCAUGAGACAGUUGGAAGCUUGGAAAAGUUUGAGGUUUCGAGUACUUCAGGACUACUAGAUGUAUUAACCAUGCACAACUGUUUUCACCGUUUCCUGCACAGAGCUAUACUGUUCUCUUCCUUGGCACUAGUUCGGAAGUGUAAGCCAUGACUCAAUCUUUGCAGCUAAGACUUUGAGAGUAUUUCUGUAGUCGGUCUUACGGACCGCAAGCUGGAACGUGGUAAGCUGCAUGCGAAUUUUUGUGACGAAUGACCGGUCAGAUGUAGGCGGUCAUUGUUUUAGCUUGCAAAAAUUCAGAGUUGCAGCUGGUAGAUUGUUAGAUUGUAAUAAUUCGAACUAUGGAUUGUUGUUACAAUCUGAUUACAAUUUGGGACUUGUUUGUUUCACCUUGCAGAUCUACAAUCUGCAUGCUGAACACAAACGGGCCGUAGACGAGCAUCAAGCAAGUCCGUUUGUUGAGCCGUGGCCUGUCGUCUCUUGGCGUGUCAACUUGAGCAGAUUCUGGUUGCUGGGAGCGAAACAAUUCACUCACCCGCAAUGACAAAAUUCUAGACACACUUGGGACGGCGGAAAUUCUAACGAUUCUGUACCGAUUCACGUGGAAUUCAUCUUUCCUUAUAAGAUUCUAAUCUAAGAAUAUAAAGCAUCUUUCGGAACCAUCAUCGAUCAUCGUAGCGUCUAGAAGGGGGCAAGUGUUAAAUUGGUGGCAGUUGAGGGGUCUAUCUGGGAAACAACAGGAUAGAACGGGGCGGAAAGCAACGUCACCCUCAUCCAACCUCUGCUUCACUCCCGCGGCUGCGGUGCUUCGUCGUCCCAGUCCGGGCGAUGGCCUGCUUGGAGGCGCCCCCUCCCCUCGAUCUCCGCCCGGCCACGGGCCUCCGCGGCCGGAAGCUUCAGCCAUGGCGGCUCAGCCUGCUGAGCUCCUCCUCAUGCAAGUAGGCUCCUCUACCGUUUUCAACUUCGUCCUCCGUACCCCGUAGAGUGUACUAGGCUGCUAGUGUAGGGGCUGAGCAUCUACACCUUUGGCAUGUGCCAUUUCGCCGAUUUUUCCCCAGCAUUUCGAUGUUCCAAGAAUUUCGCAGGCUUAUAGUUAUGGGAUCCCUAUAGUUAUAGCUCAUACGAAGUUGAAUUAGUAUAGUCAUCAUCUAAAAGUACGGCAACAGAAAUUAACCCCUAAUUCCAAACCUGACUGCAACUUACGAGUUAUGCAAAGCUUAAUAUUCACUCCGUAUCUCCUGAACUCCUAUCCUAGCUACGCCAUGGUCUGCUACUCUGUGUUCUAUUUUGGAGAAUGGAUAGUUGCAGCUGAAUUUCCGCUCCCCCCCCCCCCCCCCCCCCCCCCCCCCCCCCCCCCGUUUUUUUUGCCUCCUGAAACCAAACAGGUUUAGAGUCAAAUUUCUAGUGGCCAUUCCAAAAGCACUCAUCUUAGGAUACACCAUGAAUUUUCUGAAACCCAUGAGAUAUGGUCACAUCGACGCUGUGGUAAUUCUCUGGGGGAUCAAAAUUGGUUGUGAUAAAUCACCUGGCAUUGUUUGCUUCUGAAUGUACUGCUUGGUGUCUGGCCUAUGGGGCAAAGUAGUACCGCCCCAGGGUGGUUGGUGGUUCACAGGCAACACCAUGAUGAAAAAUUUUACCAGGAAUUUUCAGUUUUCCACCAUAUAAAAUUUUACCUGUAUUCUAUGUCUAUAUAAAUCGUGUGCACCACCAUGGUUUCAGCCCUAGCUCCGCCCCUAAAUAUAAGCAAGGCCUUUGGAAGAGAACAGCAUUGUUUUAUUUUCCUCAAUAAUCUUCCUACACUCUAUCAUGUGCUCCACUAAUUGUUGGCUCAAUUGUACUGAUUUCUGCGUUCUGUUCAUUCAGGGCUUGGACUCUAGUGUGUCGACAGCUUCCAAUUUGCAAUGCACAGUCAUGUGAGAUUUCCUCUUCACCCUUUAAUGAUUCUUCUACAUAUAAGUAUGCGGUACACACAAUUUAACUUUGUAGCAUACACAAUUACUCUGCGAUGCAGAUACUGAUGAACUAUGGGUAGCUGCUCCUCAAAGCCCUGCAUCGGUUCGGUCAAGGUUGCUUGCUGCAGAAAGAGAGGAGGCAAAAGCUGUUCUGUCAUUGUUCUUGAGACAGAAGGGUUUGAGAAGUACGUUAGCUGCACGGAUCGUCAACAAGUCAGAUGGUUUCAUUGAGCACCUGGUGUCAAAGCUCCAGAUUGCUUACAGAUCUCGAUAUGCUGAAGGUUGCAACUUUUUGUUACACUUUUCUGUAUACAUAUGUCUUCUUAUUGGUUCUGAACUUUUGACAGCAUAUUUAUUUUUCAGGAAGAGAGCUGAGCACACCUGAGAUCAGAGAUGCCCUCCUUCCAUAUCUAGAAGCUCUUGAUAGAGAACAUGGCGAUAGUUUGGUCGAGGUGGUGGAGAACUUCGCUGAUCCUUUUUCUAUGGAAAGGGAAGCCUUGUCUUCUUCUAUGGUACUUACACCCACGAGCUCAAAUAAACAGAAGGCAGUUGCUAGAAUAAGCACACCAACCUCGGGGGGAGCCCUCCCUGAGCUAGUGCUCUACCUACUAGACCUUGGUAUGGAUCAUGAGGAGAUCAAGAAUAUCGUGCGCAAGUUCCCAGCAUUUGCAUAUUACAAUGUGGAACGCAAGAUAAAACCCCUGGUGGAGCUUUUGCUAGACCUUGGUGUGCCAAGGUCUAGCAUACCGGGAAUCAUAAAGAAGAGGCCUCAGCUCUGUGGGAUCAGCAUGUCAGAUAAUCUUAAACCGAUGAUGGUUUAUUUGGAAAACAUUGGUGUCAACAGAGCUCAAUGGAGCAAGGUUAUUACCCGGUUCCCUGCUGUUCUCACGUAUAGCAGGAACAAGGUGGAGACAACUGUGAGCUUCCUUACUGAGCUAGGAGUUUCCAAGAAAAACAUUGGCAAGAUCCUGACACGAUGCCCUCAUAUCAUGAGCUACAGUGUCGAUGACAAUCUCAGGCCUACUGCUGAGUAUUUCCGGUCGAUUGGUGCAGAUGCUGCAUCUCUUAUUCAGAAGAGCCCACAGGCUUUUGGUCUGAAUGUCGAGGCAAAGCUGAAGCCAAUCACGGAAUUCUUCCUUGAGAGGGAGUUCAGCAUAGAGGAAAUUGGCAUUAUGGCGAACAGAUUUGGAAUUAUUCACACAUUAAGCUUGGAGCAAAACUUACUCCCAAAAUAUGAGUUCUUCCUAACGAUGGAGUACCCGAGGAGUGAGCUCGUGAAAUUUCCACAAUACUUUGGAUACAGCUUGGAGCAACGGAUAAAGCCACGAUAUGCUCAGAUGACUGGUUCUGGGGUGAGGUUGAUCUUGAACCAGAUGCUGUCAGUCUCAGACACCAGGUUUGAGGAAAUUCUAGAAAAGAAGAAGACUAGAGUUUGAAAAGCCGAUAAUUUCAUAUGAGCACAAUUUUAGAUCUCAUUCGAUAACUAUCGCCACUGCAGCAUGUUUUAUUGGAUGAGCGUGGCAUUAGUUUUUCAGGGAAGUAGCUUCUUUGUGUGGUCUUGAUGGAUGCUCAAAAUUUGAAAUUGAAAUUUUUUAUGUAUGACUGUAGUCUGUAGGGUGAUUUAGGAUCCUAGUUUGCAAGGGGGUGAACUAAGAAAUGCCAGUUGCGGUCGUUAUGAUUCAAUUCAAUCAGACUAAUUGAUGCUCAGUUAUGUAAUUAAUAGCGCUCGUCGUGGCAUUGUAGCUUGUUUUACAUGUUGUUCCUGAAUUUGCCCGUUAGCAUUCAACCGUACCAGCGUACCUCCCAAAGGCCAAAACACAGUUGCACGAGCACUUGAGCAGUACUGCCACACAAUGGGCUAUGUAUUAAUGCCGGAGCUGAUUAGCCUGAUACACGAGAUGAGACUGAAAUAAUAUGAUAACAUCAGAUUCCCUUGUUUCACUGAAUUUUUCUAUGAUGCUUCCAGAGAGUGCAUCUGCAUACGAUGUGCACAACCGGGCGAAAACAGUUACUGUAGAUGAUAGCAUCCGAUUCGCUUGUACACGGAAAUUCUAAAGAUCAAUCAGCGCAGCCACUGGUUUAAGUACAUGAUAAUAACAGUUACACCGCACUGUGCUCACAGCCUCACAUCAACGGCGCUCCUACCACCGGUGUUUAGCCUUCAUCAACUUGCCACCAGGCACCAGUCGUCACCCAGGCUGAUUAAACAGACCGAUGCAAAUUCAAGCAAACCUCUUUCCUUUUACACCAGAUAUCUUCCAGGUUAGCAUCGAUGCCAAGCCACUGAAACGUUGUUCCUUAGUGCACUUCAGUGCUCAGCUUCAAACCAUGAAGAAUCCACCAAUGAGGCAAUGGGCCAACCUGGUUAAAAGGAACCGGGUUUGAGGCUGUGAGGCAGUGACUCUUUAUACUAAAUACACAAAUAUAAAAGGCAGUAAAGAUCAAACAGUUUCACUGAUGCAUCAUAAAGAAACUAGAAAAGGAGCUAACUAGAGAAGCAGACAUGCAAGCAAGAUCGCACUCCAUAACACACCAUGGAAAGGUGUUUCAGUUUCAUAGUAGAAACAAAUCAGAACAGUAUCUCAUAUUCCCUCUGAUUUUAAAUAUACACUGUUUAGGAGCUAAUUAGUUCACACGACUGCAGAUGAUACAAUUAAUCAGGACAGAUACGCAGAUCUCACAGAAAAUUGUUCAGAUUGCUUUAAAUGCGGUCUUACACCAUUUCACAAAUCUCACUUGCUUGAGCAAACACAAUCUAUUCAAUGAACCAGAGCACAAGGCAGAUACACUGAUUUAUCAGGAAAGAAAAAUACUUGCAGGGCCGCUCACCCAGCCAGCCAUGUUUAAUUUCUGAUUGAAUGGUGUUUUAUUAUUUCAAGAGUCAGCACAAAACAUACAUGGAAUUAACCAUUUUUUGCAUGAAGGGCAAGUGCUUCGCAAUGCUUACAGAACUAAUCAAAAUACAAAAGAACAUUAGGUACAGUAACAUGAAAAACAUAACUUCUUAAUUGCUAAUUUGGUCAAAGGUAUAUGAUUUAGAGUUUUAGAUGCUGUUGCUACCCCACAAGCACACAAAAAAAAA